AUUGAACGCUGGCGGCAGGCUUAACACAUGCAAGUCGAGCGGGGUGAUGGUGCUUGCACUAUCACUUAGCGGCGGACGGGUGAGUAAUGCUUAGGAAUCUGCCUAUUAGUGGGGGACAACAUCUCGAAAGGGAUGCUAAUACCGCAUACGUCCUACGGGAGAAAGCAGGGGAUCACUUGUGACCUUGCGCUAAUAGAUGAGCCUAAGUCGGAUUUGCUAGUUGGUGGGGUAAAGGCCUACCAAGGCGACGAUCUGUAGCGGGUCUGAGAGGAUGAUCAGCCACACUGGGACUGAGACACGGCCCAGACUCCUACGGGAGGCAGCAGGGGGGAAUAUUGGACAAUGGGGGGAACCCUGAUCCAGCCAUGCCGCGUGUGUGAAGAAGGCCUUGUGGUUGUAAAGCACUUUAAGCGAGGAGGAGGCUCUUUUGGUUAAUACCCAAGAUGAGUGGACGUUACUCGCAGAAUAAGCACCGGCUAACUCUGUGCCAGCCGCCGCCGUAA
RNAcentral lists this ribosomal RNA (503 nucleotides) under uncultured bacterium. Its description in RNAcentral is "partial 16S ribosomal RNA". It matches the Rfam family "Bacterial small subunit ribosomal RNA", at positions 30 to 523 of the family's 1533-position model. The record is from RNAcentral.